GCCGCAUUGUCUGGACUGCUGUAUUUGCAAUCAGAGCAGAUAGCAGAAGCACAAGCACUUCCUGCACAGCUUCUUGGCUGCGACCUGGACUGACCCCACGAACAGCAAGUCAGGGGGACUGUGAGAAUUCAAGGAGCUGUGGGUGAGGUGGCCAACUUCUUCCUCUUCAUGCUCAUCUUUCCCAAGUGACCUUCCAAGGAUCUGAAGCUUUACUCAAGAGGCUUCUCAGGAAUGUCUCCAGCAGCAAUACCAUAGGCAGUGUGUCAUCCAGUGUGAGCAUCCUGGAGGAAAACACAGGUCCUGGUCUGUUCAACUUCCUCCCCAUGGACGACUGUUUCUUUACUUUUUCUGCUCAAGGGUAAAAGAAGGACUGAGGGUCAGUAUUACACUUCAUUCUAUAAAUUUUUUUAGUCUGCAAGAUUUCUAAGAAAGUUUUCGCACUUUUGAAAACCCAAUACACUAGAGAUAUAAUAGUUCUACUCUGGUUUACUCUAUUCACACACUGUGCUUUUGUAUUUCAGAAUCUUAUAUGAGUCUGCUAGAGGCAGUAAGAGGAAAGGACCUUUCUCAGAGUCAGAGAUUGCAGAUGACCUCAUGCUGAAGAGACAGGAUGCAAUGCACAAAGCUUCUGGGGUACCCACAGGGCACCACGAGGAACUUGGCAGCAGAUGCAGCCUGCUGAGUGGAGCCCUGGCACAGCAACCCCUCCGUGCAUUAGUGCUCCGCGGGCCUCAUUGUGUUACACUCCUCACGAUCCCUGCUCUGCAAGCUCUGCAAGAGGCUCUUCUGUCCAGUGGAGCUCUGGGCUCCCACUGCAUGUGCAGCCAACUCCAUUGUUCUGUUGGUGAUGAUAACACAUGGGCUUUUACAGCUAAGAAAGCCUCCAUGCAAGCUGGGGGGCUUCUCAAGGCACAGCAGGUUCAGAGAAUGUGA
Molecule: long non-coding RNA, 933 nt
Filed under: Junco hyemalis (dark-eyed junco)
Lineage: Eukaryota; Metazoa; Chordata; Aves; Passeriformes; Passerellidae
Description: lncRNA (ENSJHYG00000011791.1)
Source: RNAcentral